This 447-nucleotide ribosomal RNA is filed under the name uncultured bacterium. RNAcentral describes it as "bacterial SSU rRNA". It matches the Rfam family "Bacterial small subunit ribosomal RNA", at positions 331 to 794 of the family's 1533-position model. The record is from RNAcentral.
CCAGACUCCUACGGGAGGCAGCAGUCGAGAAUCAUUCACAAUGGGGGAAACCCUGAUGCAGCGACGCCGCGUGUGGGAAGACGGUCUUCUGGAUUGUAAACCACUGUCCCCAGGGACGAAAAUGACGGUACCUGGGGAGGAAGCCCCGGCUAACUACGUGCCAGCAGCCGCGGUAAUACGUAGGGGGCAAGCGUUAUCCGGAUUUACUGGGUGUAAAGGGGGCGCAGACGGCGAUGCAAGCCAGGAGUGAAAGCCCGGGGCCCAACCCCGGGACUGCUCUUGGAACUGCGUGGCUGGAGUGCAGGAGGGGCAGGCGGAAUUCCUGGUGUAGCGGUGAAAUGCGUAGAUAUCAGGAGGAACACCGGUGGCGAAGGCGGCCUGCUGGACUGCAACUGACGUUGAGGCCCGAAAGCGUGGGGAGCAAACAGGAUUAGAUACCCCAGUAAU